This 607-nucleotide unclassified non-coding RNA is filed under the name Zea mays. RNAcentral describes it as "misc RNA Zm00001eb045720". Lineage: Eukaryota; Viridiplantae; Streptophyta; Magnoliopsida; Poales; Poaceae. The record is from RNAcentral.
ACUUGCCAUGGGUCAUCAUGGAAGAUGAUGAUUUAUCUCUUGAGCUUAAAAAGGGUACUCCAUGUGUGGAAGAGUUCACCCCAAAAAAUUGUGAAAUGUUAUGCAACAAUACGAAGCUUGAUCUUGCUACUGUCGAGACCGAUGUUGAUGAGAAAGUCGAAGAUAAGGUAUGUUCUUAUGUGGAUCAACUUCUUGCAGCUAUGCGAGCCAAAGAUUCUACCAUGCACGUAUGUCGCCGCCGCGAGGGUCAUGUGCUAGCAGAUAUAAAUCUAUACAAAAGGUGUACUUUUGGAGUCUUCCAAGUUGUGCUGGGAACUAGGCAUACAGGAAAAGGAAGGAGCCUGAUGUAGAGAAGCAAAAGGAACCAAUUCUAGAGCAUGUCACAGUGUUACUUGCCAGUCAUUAUCACCUAAAAUUUACAACUCGCGAUGUGUUUCUUCCCUUUGAUUUAUUUGUAAGCAGGAAGCAUCUUUGUUGAAUACAACAAAUCAAGCUUGUGGGCUUUAUAAUGAAGCUGAGGUUUAGGAAAAGAUACAAUUUCUUAUUUGAUGAAGACUUUCCUGCUGAAAAAUAAAGACUCCAAAAAAUGAUUAAGAAAUCUAAGGAC